GACGAACCGUGCGAACGUUAUUCGGAAUCACUGGGCUUAAAGCGCGUGUAGGCGGGACGGCACGUCGGUCGCUGAAAGCCCCCGGCUCAACCGGGGAACGGGCGCCGAUACGACCUUCCUGGAGGGACGUAGGGGGACCUGGAACUUCCGGUGGAGCGGUGAAAUGCGUUGAGAUCGGAAGGAACGCCCGUGGCGAAAGCGAGGUCCUGGACGUUUUCUGACGCUGAGACGCGAAAGCCAGGGGAGCAAACGGG
This 254-nucleotide ribosomal RNA is filed under the name uncultured bacterium. RNAcentral describes it as "partial 16S ribosomal RNA". It matches the Rfam family "Bacterial small subunit ribosomal RNA", at positions 524 to 776 of the family's 1533-position model. The record is from RNAcentral.